Long non-coding RNA from Acanthochromis polyacanthus (spiny chromis), 395 nucleotides. RefSeq lists it as uncharacterized. The transcript is spliced from 3 exons. NCBI's taxonomy places the organism in Eukaryota, Metazoa, Chordata, Actinopteri, Pomacentridae. The record is from RefSeq and is a predicted model, not a curated record.
UCGACAGCUGUUCGCCGCUGCUUGGGACACACGUCUCAAUUCUGAUCACAGAUGUAUUAAAAAUGAAGUGGUUUCAGAGUGGAACGCCAGCACGGUGGAUGUGGCUAAUAUCUGACCAUGGUGAAGUCGUGUGCUGCCAUCUCCUGCACCAGUCGAUUUGUGCGUGGCUGUAAUAUUUCCUUUCAUAAGUUUCCCAAGCAGUCCAAGGACAGCACACUGAGAGAUCAAUGGAUACAGGCCAUCAGUAGAGAAGCGGUGGGGACCAAAAGGAGAUGGAUCAUAAUUGUGUAUGCAGCAACCAUUUCAGGGAGGAGGACUUCAUCCUCUCAAAACAUGUGCAACACAAGCUUCUCAGGCCAGGGGCUGUACAAUCCCUCAAUUUGGGGAAACCAGAG